GCUGUUGAUGUAAUGAGACACAUAUACUUGUAAAGUCCUAUACUGUAGAAGUAUGGAUUUUUGAAACCUUGUGGCAAGGUGCAAACUGCAGUGAUUUGCACUGCAUCAAUUCAGUAAUAACCUGACUCUGACUGAACUUAUUCAUUUGUUAUCAGUGUGUGCAGUGAGACAUUUCUGGAUCAGUUUCAUGCUAUGGAGUCCCUUACUGUCUUUUGUUUAUUUUGGGAUUAGAGAGCUGGAGAUACAUAGGUAUAUAGUUGGAAAAAAAACUUGGAGGGUAUGGCUGAGUGAUGAGAUAAGUAUGCCACUUGUAGCUAGGGGUUAUCUGGAAAGAAGACUGUGUCCUUCAAGGUCAGAGAAGAGAGAAGUCUGAAGUUUAUAUACAGGGGCAAAUGAGAAAGCAAAUCUCUUGAAACAUAAGCAGUGGUACUUCCCUGGAGGGAGGAGAUGGGAAUUCUCCUGUUACUCUGAGAAUUGCCAGGUGCCAGAAGUGGUCCACAGUGGUGGUGGACAAUUAUUCUGAGUGACGGCCCUUGCACACGCUUCUGAGUGGUUAUCAUGGGCUUCAUUGCCUUUCUGAAGACCCAGUUCAUAGUUCACCUCCUCAUUGGGUUCGUCUUUGUUGUGAGUGGACUGAUCAUUAACUUCAUUCAACUAUGCACGCUAGUCCUCUGGCCCAUAAACAAGCAGUUUUAUCGACGAGUAAACUGUCGCCUUGCCUAUUCGCUUUGGAGCCAGUUGGUAAUGCUGCUGGAAUGGUGGUCAGGCACAGAAUGCACCUUGUUCUCCGAUGAGGCCACUGUGAAUACCUUUGGGAAAGAGCACGUCAUCAUCAUCUUGAAUCACAACUUUGAAAUUGACUUCUUGUGUGGCUGGACUAUGACGGAACGCUUUGGAGUACUAGGGAGUUCCAAAGUUCUCGCUAAGAGAGAGCUACUGUACGUGCCCCUAAUUGGCUGGACGUGGUACUUCCUUGAGAUUGUUUUCUGCAAAAGGAAAUGGGAAGAAGACAGAGAUACGGUUAUUGAAGGAUUAAAACGUUUGGCUGAUUAUCCUGAAUAUAUGUGGUUUCUCCUCUAUUGUGAAGGAACUCGUUUUACAGAGACCAAGCAUCGUAUCAGUAUGGAGGUAGCUGAAUCCAAGGGGUUGCCUAAACUGAAAUACCACCUAUUGCCCAGAACCAAAGGCUUCACCACUGCUGUCCAGUGUCUCAGGGGAACAGUUGCAGCAGUGUAUGAUGUAACACUAAAUUUCAGAGGAAACAAGAACCCCUCCUUAUUAGGAAUUCUUUAUGGAAAGAAAUAUGAAGCAGAUAUGUGUGUAAGGAGAUUUCCUCUGGAAGAUAUUCCUCAAGAUGAAAAGGAAGCUGCAAACUGGCUUCAUAAGCUUUACCAAGAAAAGGAUGCUUUGCAAGAGAUGUAUAAUCAGGAAGGCGUAUUUCCUGGCCAGCAGUUUAAACCUCCUAGGAGACCAUGGACUCUCCUAAACUUCCUUUUCUGGGCCACAGUUCUCCUCUCGCCUCUCUUCACAUUUGGCUUUGGAGUUUUUGCAAGUGGAUCACCUCUCCUUAUCCUUGCAUUCCUGGGAUUUGUUGGAGCAGCUUCCUUUGGAGUUCGUAGACUGAUAGGAGUAACUGAAAUAGAAAAAGGCUCCAGCUACGGCAACCAAGAAUUCAAGAAAAAGGAAUAACUGACAGCUGCAGUUCAGCACACAUAACCAGACUAUGGUACCUGAUUAACUUCAGUUAAAAAAAAAAACACUUAGAAACUAUCUUUUUCUUAAUAACUGAUGACUAAUAUUAAUGAAUAAAACUUGAGCCAAGAAUGAAGAAUUUGGAGGCAUCAACUGAAAAGAACGCAUCAACUUUCUGCCUGUUUAAGGAUUACUGUAGUCAAACUAUGGGAGAAAAUCUGGGGUGGGGGGGAGGAGAAAGUUAAUUUUUCUUGCUUUGUUGGGGGUUUGGGGGUGGGGGGAGAAGAGAGGUCAUUGGGCAUGGCCAUGUGCAUCGUCAGAUGACUGAAUACACUGGUUUCUGUCAAGAGCACUACACUCACUUUUACAACAGGAGCCAUUGAAUGUUUCCUCUUGCUAAAGCCAACAUAGCAUUUGUUGAUUUUCAACUUUUUUUAUUAAUGAUCCAGGAAAAACCAACCAUUCUUUAAUUAAUUAUAGAUGUUCACUGGAUUAGUCUCUUUGGAAAGGUUGUGUUUUCAUGGCUACAGAUUAAAUCCUAUUUGUAUGUUACACUGAUACGUUUUAUUUUCAGGCAACAUCUAAAAACUUCUAUAAUGCAAGAGAACACAUAAUGGAGCUUGGAAGCAGUGUGUUACUGAUCAGCACAUGACGUAGAAACAGAUCCACUAGUAUUAAGAGAGUAUAAAAUUGUCAUCGUAUCUCCUGCCAACUGCUCAAGGCUGUUUAAUUUCUAAAUAUUACCCCAGCCUUGAGUGUUAGCCCCGUUUCACAUCAUGUGUGUAUGUAAUUUUGAAUCUGUUUAUGUUUGUUUUGUUUUCUGAAUUAAUUUUGACCAUGGGAUUUGGAGUUGUGCAAAGAAGGAAAUUUAUUCAGUUGUCCUGAUGUUUUUUUCCUUUUAUUUCUGUCAUCACCAGAGUCCAGUUCAACCAAGAUCCCUCAGUAAACUGGGGGAUAACAGCAGAAACUAGCACAAUAGUUUUUAAAAUGUUAUAUUUUACAAGAAUUCUGACAGGAGAGGUCUGUAGCAAUCAGAUUCCAAAUACCGGCAUCUCUUGAACUUCUAAUGGGGGUUUUGACAUUGAUUCCAAUGGGGGCCAGGAUCUUACCCGGUGUGCUGUAAUGGUAGGGUGUGCUGCACUUUCUACUUGGUUGUGGUAUAGAUAUUAAUGUGAAGAAUAUUGCAAGGUGAGUUGUGCUAUUAAGCAUUAGAAUGAGUGUGGGGUCUCUUCAGGGAUUUAAAUAUCUUUAGUUUUGCUUGUUGUCCUUUGGAUUUUUUCACUAAAAUAGAGAUUGGAAUCAUGGCUGUACCUCUUAUUUUUUCAUAAACGCACAUUUUAGGAUUUUUGCAGAUUGCUGCUGUAUGCACAGCUGCAGAAUUAUUCUCAAGUAGAUGGGAGCUACCUUUAUGUUUAAGUCUGAAGGCCGAAAUCUGCAUUUGGCUACACUCAGGAGUUGGUGAAAUGGGUUGCAGAUCUACAGCUGAGGGCAGAAGCCAGGUCUGCCAUUUUAGCUGCCACUUAGAAUAUUUAUCUCACUUUUGCAAACAGCAGAUCUUAUCAGAGUACUGAUUAUUUUUGUCUUUGCUCUAGCAACCACAAUAAGACAGUAAUCAUCUACCUUCUCUUCAUAUUUACUCUGUUAGAAUGUAACCUCUUCUCCCACAGGUUUUUCUGUCUAGAAGAGCAAUUUUGUAACUUGGAAAAAUAUUUUACUGUGGAUCAUUAGUCACUGUUCUGUCAUGCACUUGAUUUUUAUUGGUGGUCUUUCCAACCGAGUGAUUUGAAGGAUGACCUGUUGUCUGUCUCCUGAGACUCAUUCUCACUGAAUCGUUGUACCUGUAGCUCCAGCAUUAGCAUGUCAUCUUUCUACCCUACAAAAAGUCUUCCCUAAGACAGGGGAUACAAAACUGUUGUUCUUGGUGGUGGAAAUUGGAACAUGAUUUGGGAAUUGAGGAGAAUAGAUCCUAGCCACGACUCUGUUUUACUUACUGAGUGUCUUUGUACUCUGUCUUUAAAUAUGGUUAGAAUUCUAAAUGAUGAUAAAUAUAACUCUGAUUUUUCCCUGUCUUUUUUUAACCAGAGGGCUAAAAACAGUGAGCUUUUCUUUCUUUUCAUUUCCCUUCCCCCUCCCCCUUUUUUUCCCCAUAAGUAAUUCAGUAAUGGAUAUAAUUGUUGUUUGUUAGAAAGAUGUUACAGAUGCUGUAUACUUGCUUCCUGAAGAUGGUAUUGAGUAUAUAUAAACUGUACCAGCUUAGCAAAGUGAGGCUUGCAAAGCAGGCUGACCACUGGCUGUUUAAUACUUACACUUUGGGUGGUAUAUUAAUAGGGCAUGACAAGAAUUUGACAAAAUAAAUCCCUUCUUAAUGUUGAAAAGAGGGGGAGUGCUUAAAGGAGAAGGGAAUUAAUAGCCUUUCUCUUUAUGGGGUUCUUUUCUCCUCUUAGUGCAUGUAACUCCUUAUUAGGAAUCACGGGAUUAGUGCAUGUACAUCAAGGGGAGAAUAAUCAAUGUUUCAUAUUUUCUUACUGGUCAUGCUUUCUUUUUCAAAAUAUAAUACAUGCAUCAUCGUUUACUUAAUUUGCUCUUCUAAACGGACAUAUCAGUAACCAUUUGGAAAAUCAAAAUAUACAGUAAUGUACAAAACAGUGAAAAACAACACAAAUCUCUUCAUUUUGAAUUUUAUCUCCUCAAAUAGGAGUUCUUUUAUACGCACGAGUGCACACAUACACAGAGUAUGUAUAAAUUAAAAUGACUGAAGUUAAUGUCACUAACAAAGAUUAGCAGGCGGCUUGGAUUGGAAAAGUGAGCAUAGAUUUUAUAUCUUACACUAUUUUCUUCUGGUUUAAUAGAUUAUAGCUUGUAUAUUUGACUACCAAGCCCUUUAAGAGCAAUAAUAAACAAAAAUAUAUCAUGUUUUUUGUCUUUUACUUUUCAACCAUGCUAAGUUUAAUAAACUUAAAGCUGUAGGAUCAUUCUCUCUCUCCACCUUUCAAAACAUUCAUUUAUUGCUUGAUUGUUUAGAUUAAAUGCCAUGUCCUCCAGUAUGGACCUGCAAGCUGACUGUCAUGGAUCUCAGCAUUGACUCUGAAGGUGACUAAUACGGGCCAUGGCAGCACUUAACAUUGUCGUGAAGAACAACGAUAUUGCUCUCAAAGUGGGAUUUGCAGUUCCAAGAUAGCAUCACGUUGACCUACGUCUUAAGAAGCUGGUGGGAGAGCUCUGAGGCUACUGGUGUUGUGAUGUCUCACAAUUAGGAAGGCACAAAAAGCUGAUGCUGAGGGAGGAUGGGUUGUGAUAUGUCUGGAUAGCUGAUAUCCAGAGGUCUUGGCUCAGUAGGGAUUACAGUUCUCUGUUGCUCAUUGUGGGCUGAAUGUGCUCUUGCAAUUGACUUAGUGUUAUGGAGCAAAAUAUUUGUCUCUGGCACAAAGAGCAUGGGCGACGUUCCUUUGUUCUGCUUUAACUUAUCUUGAAGGGCUCUACACUUAAUUGCUGACCAAUGAAUAUGACUACUACCUUUUGUCCUAAUUGCCUAGUGUUCACAGAAAAAAAAGUGAAUGUGUCUGCUCACUUCCACGUGGUGCCACUUGUCACAUCUACUGAUGUCUGUAUACUUGCUUGCCUGUAUUUUCUGCAGAUGGUUCAGUUACGACCUCCUGGCUGGAACUCGGAGCUUUCCAGUUCAACUAAUACUGAAGAUAUCAUUUCACGUAGCUGGGUUUUUGUCUUUCUGCAUUUUGGGCACUGGCUGACGUGCCCAGUAGGUCUGAAGUGACAUAAUUGUUUAAGUCUACUGAUGAUGCAACUUUGCUGCUUCUGAGUAAAACUUUGUUAGGGAGACGUACCGUCUUUCCUAGGCCUGCCUCACAUAGGCCCUGGUAACAGGUCUCUCUCUGGCAUCGAUGAAUCAAUGAAACCAAUAAAUGGGAUUUCACUGAAGCUGGAGCAACUAACAAGGAGGGGUCAAGGUACAACUGAUAAUUGCUAAAGGUAUCGUUUCUGUCUGGGACUACCCCAAAACCUGUAUUCGCUUCACAUACGUUUUGAUUAGAGAAACGUGGGGUUGGAGGCUUUUAAUAAUGCUGAAUUCACACUGUGCAACGUUUCAGAUUGAAGACAAUGUUCACAUACCUCGGCAUCUUGGAGAAGUACAUACUCAGUAAGUCUAAGGUCAACAUCGGACAGACUUAGCCCAACUGUGUUUCAUACAGAUGCUGAAGGCCAAUGCAAAUACAACUGAAAAAUCCAUUUCUAGGUUCCCUUUUGGAAAUGGGACGCAUUGGAGUAUCUCACAGCGUUUCCUGGAUGCCCAUGUACUUCUGUCACUUGGUAUGAAGUUUCUUGCUCGCCGUAGUCCCAGUUGUGCGAUCCUGGCUUAUGCCUGGGAUAAGCCCAAUCCUCUUCAUGGUAAUGCUGAAUUUGUACUUCGAAGCAGUUUGUCACAGCUGCUUGUUUCCUUAUUUCUGAACUUUUGGAUCCACAAUGGGCUGCUCUGGAGCUGCCAGCACUGGGUGAAGCUGGGGUUUGAAGCAGGUACUGGGUGAAGCUGGGGUUUGAAGCAGGUAACAGUCGUGCUGAGAGCUGCACCCUGCAUAGCUGAAUGGAAGAGGAACGCGGACAGAUACGGCCAAAUUCUUGCCCCCAGGAAAUGGAAGGAUUGCCAGGAGCUUUGUAAACCAGAGAUGAGCAUGUAUGCGGGCGGGCAAAUUCUGAUCUGUAGCAUGAAUGUGAAACCACUUGGUGACAACUUACAAGGUAACCCUCACUAUUUUCAUGCAACUGGGGUCAGAAUUGGUCUUGAAGGGCCUAUCUGCUUGUUUCAGAGGGCAACUUUUUUGUCACACCCCCUAUUUAUCUUGAAGAACAGUUUAUCUGAUUGUCUCAGUGAUCUCUGCACCAAGAUCCCUGCAGAUUUAAAUAAAUA
This is an RNA transcript of Oxyura jamaicensis (ruddy duck), 6613 nucleotides long. It is a transcript of the gene named 1-acylglycerol-3-phosphate O-acyltransferase 3, with no coding region annotated. The transcript has 11 exons. The record is from RefSeq and is a predicted model, not a curated record. NCBI's taxonomy places the organism in Eukaryota, Metazoa, Chordata, Aves, Anseriformes, Anatidae.